This 588-nucleotide ribosomal RNA is filed under the name uncultured bacterium. Its description in RNAcentral is "bacterial SSU rRNA". It matches the Rfam family "Bacterial small subunit ribosomal RNA", at positions 338 to 916 of the family's 1533-position model. The record is from RNAcentral.
CCUACGGGAGGCAGCAGUGGGGAAUAUUGCGCAAUGGGGGAAACCCUGACGCAGCAACGCCGCGUGAGUGAGGAAGGACUUCGGUCUGUAAAGCUCUGUUAAUGUGGAAAAAUGGUAGUUGGUCUAAUAGGCCGAUUAUUUGAUGGUACACAUAGAGGAAGCACCGGCUAACUUCGUGCCAGCAGCCGCGGUAAUACGAAGGGUGCAAGCGUUGUUCGGAUUUAUUGGGCGUAAAGCGCGCGUAGGCGGACCUGCAAGUCAGAUGUGAAAUCUCGGGGCUCAACCUCGAAACUGCGUCUGAAACUACAGGUCUAGAAUCUUGGAGGGGGAAGGGGAAUUUCUCAUGUAGGGGUAAAAUCCGUAGAUAUGAGAAGGAACACCAGAGGCGAAGGCGCCUUCCUGGACAAGUAUUGACGCUGAGGCGCGAAAGCGUGGGGAUCAAACAGGAUUAGAUACCCUGGUAGUCCACGCUGUAAACGAUGAAUACUAGAUAUUGCAGGAUUUGACCCCAGCAGUGUCGUAGCUAACGCGUUAAGUAUUCCGCCUGGGAAGUACGGUCGCAAGACUAAAACUUAAAGGAAUUGACGG